RNAcentral lists this ribosomal RNA (254 nucleotides) under uncultured bacterium. RNAcentral's name for it is "partial 16S ribosomal RNA". It matches the Rfam family "Bacterial small subunit ribosomal RNA", at positions 524 to 776 of the family's 1533-position model. The record is from RNAcentral.
GACGUAGGGGGCCAGCGUUGUUCGGAAUUACUGGGUGUAAAGGGCGCGUAGGCGGUCAGCACAAGUCAGUUGUGAAAUCUCCGGGCUUAACUCGGAAAGGUCAACUGAUACUGUGCGACUAGAGUGCAGAAGGGGCAACUGGAAUUCUCGGUGUAGCGGUGAAAUGCGUAGAUAUCGAGAGGAACACCUGCGGCGAAGGCGGGUUGCUGGGCUGACACUGACGCUGAUGCGCGAAAGCCAGGGGAGCGAACGGG